Molecule: long non-coding RNA, 202 nt
Organism: Neltuma alba
Lineage: Eukaryota; Viridiplantae; Streptophyta; Magnoliopsida; Fabales; Fabaceae
Exons: 3
Source: RefSeq, a predicted model, not a curated record
GCUUCUUCACAACAAUCACCUAGUUGGCAGCAUUCCAGACACUACUGGAUUGAUAAAGACAUUGACGGUGGUACGGUAUGAUCACAAUCAAAUGACUGGAGAAGUGCCUUCAAGUAUCAGAAAUCUCACAAAACUCACUGUUCUGAAUUUAGGCAACAAUAAACUAAAUGGCUCUAUGCCUGAUCUUACUGGAUUAGAUGCA